This is a non-coding RNA of Triticum aestivum (bread wheat), 124 nucleotides long. The record is from Rfam. Lineage: Eukaryota; Viridiplantae; Streptophyta; Magnoliopsida; Poales; Poaceae.
AAUCUACUUCCUCCGUCCGAAAAUACUUGUCCAAUAAAUGGAUGUAUCUAGAUAUAUUUAGUUUUAGAUACAUCCAUUUAUAUCCAUUUCUACGACAAGUAUUUUCGGACGGAGGGAGUAUAUU